UACAGAGGGGGCGAGCGUUGUUCGGAAUUACUGGGCGUAAAGGGCGCGUAGGCGGACUCGCUAGUCUGUGGUGAAAGCCCCCGGCUCAACCGGGGAAGUGCCGUGGAUACUGCGAGUCUGGAGGAGGGUAGGGGCAUCUGGAACGCUGGGUGGAGCGGUGAAAUGCGUUGAUAUCCAGCGGAACUCCGGUGGCGAAGGCGAGGUGCUGGACCCUUUCUGACGCUGAUGCGCGAAAGCCAGGGGAGCAAACGGG
Molecule: ribosomal RNA, 253 nt
Filed under: uncultured bacterium
Lineage: Bacteria
Description: partial 16S ribosomal RNA
Rfam family: Bacterial small subunit ribosomal RNA
Source: RNAcentral